CACGUAGGGUGCGAGCGUUGUCCGGAAUUAUUGGGCGUAAAGAGCUCGUAGGCGGUGUGUCGCGUCGGCCGUGAAAACCUGGGGCUUAACUCUGGGCUUGCGGUCGAUACGGGCAUCACUGGAGUUCGGCAGGGGAGACUGGAAUUCCUGGUGUAGCGGUGAAAUGCGCAGAUAUCAGGAGGAACACCGGUGGCGAAGGCGGGUCUCUGGGCCGAUACUGACGCUGAAGCUCGAAAGCUAGGGGAGCAAACGGG
RNAcentral lists this ribosomal RNA (254 nucleotides) under uncultured bacterium. RNAcentral describes it as "partial 16S ribosomal RNA". It matches the Rfam family "Bacterial small subunit ribosomal RNA", at positions 524 to 776 of the family's 1533-position model. The record is from RNAcentral.